This 253-nucleotide ribosomal RNA is filed under the name uncultured bacterium. RNAcentral describes it as "partial 16S ribosomal RNA". It matches the Rfam family "Bacterial small subunit ribosomal RNA", at positions 524 to 776 of the family's 1533-position model. The record is from RNAcentral.
UACAGAGGUCUCGAGCGUUGUUCGGAUUCAUUGGGCGUAAAGGGUGCGUAGGCGGCUUUUUAAGUCGGAUGUGAAAACUCUGGGCUCAACCCAGAGCCUGCAUCCGAAACUGGAGAGCUUGGGUUCUGGAGGGGAAAGCGGAAUUCCUGGUGUAGCAGUGAAAUGCGUAGAUAUCAGGAGGAACACCGGUGGCGAAGGCGGCUUUCUGGACAGAUACCGACGCUGAGGCACGAAAGCUAGGGGAGCAAACAGG